RNAcentral lists this transfer RNA (72 nucleotides) under Capra hircus (goat). It matches the Rfam family "tRNA". Rfam says of the family: Transfer RNA (tRNA) molecules are approximately 80 nucleotides in length. Their secondary structure includes four short double-helical elements and three loops (D, anti-codon, and T loops). The record is from Rfam by way of RNAcentral. RNAcentral also lists the same sequence under 1 other name. Lineage: Eukaryota; Metazoa; Chordata; Mammalia; Artiodactyla; Bovidae.
UCCUUUGUGGCUUAGCUGGUAAAGAAUCCACCUGCAAUGUGGGAGACCUGGGUUCAAUCCCUGGGUUGGGAA